AGAGUGAGGAGAAAAUCCUCCUGGGUGGAAACAAGGACACACUCCAGGUUGACUUUCA
RNAcentral lists this small RNA (58 nucleotides) under uncultured Synechococcus sp. RNAcentral describes it as "Cyano-1 RNA". It matches the Rfam family "Cyano-1 RNA". The record is from RNAcentral. Lineage: Bacteria; Bacillati; Cyanobacteriota; Cyanophyceae; Synechococcales; Synechococcaceae.